CCUUUUCCUCCCAGACAGCCUACUUUCAUCACAGUGCACAAUUGAAAUUGGAGACCACUUAGGUUUCCUUACUUUGAAAGAGCUCAGAAGGAACCUUUACAACUCCUAAUGAAAGGCUGCAGAGAAGAGCUGAAAUUAAGUCAGCAGAGUUCACGAUUUGUCUUGGAGCAGAGCCUAAUUCAGUUUAUAAUGCAAGGUCUAUGCUGGAGUCCCAGCAUCAGUGUCAAGGACAGAAUAAAUGUGGAGAAAAAAUUUUGAAAAACUAGUUAAUUCAAAGACUCUCCCAAACUGAGCAAGAACACCAAAGAGCAUAUGCCUUCAAAAGCAACAUUUGCCGAGACAGCAGGAAUCAAAUUCUUCCAGAAAUUAAAUGCUUCCUUGCCCUCACUACAGGAGGAAUGCCAAGUAAACUGCCAUCUGCGACACCCUCUAGGAAUAUUACAGGGAUUCCCCUGCAGCGCUUUCCCUUCUGUGAAGGACAGACUGAAGAUGUGUGAAGAAGAAUAUCAGAAAUCACAUUUCUUGGCUGAAUGACAUUUCAAAUUUACCUUCUUAUUCCCAGUAUUAAUUACCUGCAACCCAUCCGACAAUGCCUACCCACAACUGGACACCUCCUUCCCUAUGCUUUUAUAUCCUUAAGCGUUGGUCUGUAUAAACUCUGUCAAUGCUGAGCUGGUGACUCCAUUCCCUCUAUCCCUCUGUUUUGCCUCCUUUGUUUUUGGGUAGUACAGGGCCCUUCUUUAUUAGCCGUUUCCACCUGAAUAAGCCAGAGCAGCACAUGACUCCUGACCUGAAGCAAUGCAAGUGAGUAGGCCAGCUUGAUACAUGCACUGCCUUUCUAUGUGAUGCCCCUGCCUUUCCUCAGCAGACACAAGGUACCAGAGAUGUCUCAGAGAUUAGGAGAGUGUGUCUGUCUGCCUGCUCACGCUGUAGCUCUGGGGGACAAGUAGGGUGAAUAUGAUAGUAGCAGUUUGUGCCCACAAAAGCGAGUCUCCCACAAAUACUGUGAGAAGAAAAUGGUGAGUAUUACUGCUUGUAUUUCAGCUGAUCAUAAAAAUAAAAAGGAUAUAGUAGCCCAAAGGAUAAACUGAACUCAAAGGUACUUGCUGCUCUGAAGCUUGUACUAUAAAAAAAAAUCAGAAGCAAGCUAUUCAUUGAAGUCCUGGCUUUCAUGCACUUGUGUUUGGCACUGUUAUUUUAAUCUCCUGACCUCAUUUUGUGUUUCUGUACUGUUUGUCUUCUCUGGCAAUGUUUAACUUCCUAGGUUAAAAUUAGUCUUGUGUUAUGGAGAUACUGUGCUAGGCUACUGGGAUUUUUCCCUCUACAGCUUCCCUGAUCUUUAUCGACAAUUGCUCAACAUCUGCAUAACUCUGUCUUUCCUGUGUCUCAACAACUACACUUGGGAGGCUGCCAGCUCAUGGUGGCAAUAGGGACCUCUGAUGAAUAUGACAAAAGUAUUAUCCACUCAAUACACUUUAUCUGUGGCAAAGAAAGUAACCCCCACCUCAUGCACAGUAAAUCUGUACCUGCUUACCCUUCAUUCUCCAUCUCCAUCUUCGCCAGGAUCCUCCCCAUGUUUCUGCAUUCUGAACUGGGCACAGAUUAAGGAAGUUUCCUAGGAAAACUGUUGGAGAAAUUCUACAUUUCAGCUUAAAUAAACUCUACCUGCUCUAUGUGGUACUUUGAAGAUCUUUUCUCUUGAAAGAAAGUGACAAAUUAAUUCCAUCCAAUGAUAAUUUAUGUAUAAAAACAAGGUUGGAAAUUAACACAAAAGUAACCUUUAUCUUCUGUGAGAACAUAUGCUGAGAAAUAUGAGAUGGUAUCCUAUUUAUGCAGUAAUUAAAUGUGAUCUUCUUUAUCUUCAUAAGCCUCUGGGAAAAAGCCACUUCUACAGCAGUUCCUUGGGCUUAUGACUAGUUUAGCUAGUCCUGGAGACCUCUUGGUAAUUGGCCAUUCAUAUCUAUUUUCAGUCCCUUAACAUUAAUACUGGUAUUAAGGUAUUAUUAUUUAGGUGGGAAAACCCACUAAGAAUAAGAAUUCUGAUUCUUUUGUGAUAUACAGGUCCAGAUCUGUGGGCAAUUGAAUCUCGGAUCCAGAUUGGCAGGGAAUCUCAAUUCAAAGGAGUGAGUUGGUUUUGUACACUUAGCAUUUACACUUACUAAGCAUUUCCUUCUAUGGCAUGACCUAUCCCGUGUUGCCACAUCAGCAACACACUUCCUCAAUGUCCUUCUAUGGGGUGGUCACUCGCUGUUCACCCGUCUGUCAGCACCGGGCAGGCUCCUUUGCGUGGGGGUCUGCCA
Long non-coding RNA from Corvus hawaiiensis (hawaiian crow), 2300 nucleotides. RefSeq lists it as uncharacterized. The transcript is spliced from 3 exons. The record is from RefSeq and is a predicted model, not a curated record. NCBI's taxonomy places the organism in Eukaryota, Metazoa, Chordata, Aves, Passeriformes, Corvidae.